This is a non-coding RNA of Cricetulus griseus (Chinese hamster), 312 nucleotides long. Lineage: Eukaryota; Metazoa; Chordata; Mammalia; Rodentia; Cricetidae. The record is from Rfam.
GGAUGGGAAAGCAAUCUGUCUGUGAUAUCUGUCACCCCGCUGAUCACCAGUAUUAACCAAGCUGAUCUGGCCCAGCUAGGUGGUGCCCCCUUUCUCCUUCACCACCCACAUGGAUCCCUCCAGAAACUGUAUAAAUCAACUGGUCAUGAGGAGAACCUUCCCAGAAGUCCUCUAUGAAGCUGUUCUUUGGUCAAGGAUAUAAAAGUAGCUGCACUCUCCUUUGAGAACCUCCAAAGAGGCAAAGCCUCCCCUUCUCCAAGAGUAAAUGACAGGAUGCUUCCUAGAAAGUGGCAUUUGUUUGUUUGUUUAUUG